UACGUAGGGGGCAAGCGUUGUCCGGAUUUAUUGGGCGUAAAGAGCGUGUAGGCGGCUUGGUAGGUCCGCUGUGAAAACUCGAGGCUCAACCUCGAGAUGUCGGCGGAAACCACUUGGCUAGAGUCCGGAAGAGGAGAGUGGAAUUCCCGGUGUAGCGGUGAAAUGCGCAGAUAUCGGGAAGAACACCCAUGGCGAAGGCAGCUCUCUGGGACGGUACUGACGCUGAGACGCGAAAGCGUGGGGAGCGAACAGG
RNAcentral lists this ribosomal RNA (253 nucleotides) under uncultured bacterium. Its description in RNAcentral is "partial 16S ribosomal RNA". It matches the Rfam family "Bacterial small subunit ribosomal RNA", at positions 524 to 776 of the family's 1533-position model. The record is from RNAcentral.